GUAGCAAUAUUGUCUCAGUGGCGAACGGGUGAGUAACGCGUUGGUGACCUGCCCCGAAGAGGGGGAUAACAGUCCGAAAGGAUUGCUAAUACCCCAUGUGGUCAAGAGGAUUAGAUGCCUUAUGACUAAACGGAGAAAUUCGCUUCGGGAGGGGCCUGCGUCCCAUCAGCUAGUUGGUAGGGUAAUAGCCUACCAAGGCGAUGACGGGUAGGGGACCUGAGAGGGUGGCCCCCCACAAUGGAACUGAAACACGGUCCAUACACCUACGGGUGGCAGCAGUAGGGAAUAUUGGUAAUCUGGGAAACCGGGAACCAGCAACGCCGCGUGCGCGAUGAAGGCCUUCGGGUUGUAAAGCGCUUUUUGAGAGGAUGAGGAAGGACAGUACUCUUAGAAUAAGCCUCGGCUAACUACGUGCCAGCAGCCGCGGUAAAACGUAGGAGGCGAGCGUUAUCCGGAUUUACUGGGCAUAAAGCGUGUGUAGGCGGUUUGAUAAGUUGGAUGUGAAAGCUCCUGGCUUAACUGGGAGAGGUCGUUCAAAACUAUCAGACUUGAGAGUGGUAGAGGGAGGUGGAAUUCCGCAUGUAGUGGUGAAAUGCGUAGAUAUGCGGAGGAACACCAGUGGCGAAAGCGGCCUCCUGGCCCAUUUCUGACGCUCAGACACGAAAGCUAAGGUAGCAAACGGGAUUAGAGACCCCGGUAGUCUUAGCUGUAAACGAUGUGAACUUAGUGUCGGUGGGGUUAAAUCCAUCGGUACUGAAGCUAACGCGAUAAGUUCACCGCCUGAGGACUACGGCCGCAAGGUUAAAACUCAAAGGAAAUUGACGGGGCCCCGCACAACAGCGGAACCGGGUGGUUUAAUUCGAUGU
RNAcentral lists this ribosomal RNA (866 nucleotides) under uncultured bacterium. RNAcentral's name for it is "bacterial SSU rRNA". It matches the Rfam family "Bacterial small subunit ribosomal RNA", at positions 76 to 957 of the family's 1533-position model. The record is from RNAcentral.